GCAGUGAACCUCGACCUUGGCAAUGCGCACGCGCGGUAUUGCCUUACGGGUUGAAACGUGUGCGCGGGCACCGCUGUGCGCCUGUCAGAUUCAGAUCUCGCGUGUGUGUUGUGGUUGUAUGUGUGAUUGUUAAAAUAACAAUACGGUAGUGGGAGCAAGCUGAUCACUCUUCAUUGCAAUGGAUUAAAGAAGGAUUUUUAAUCGCUGUCAGAGGUCUGUGACGACAACUGCUGGAAGGAGGCGAAACAGCUUCGGUUUCGAAAGUGGAUAGUAAUUUAGUGGAGGAAAGGUGGGCCGACCACAUGACUCCUGCAAGAGGGUCUAAACUAAAUGACAUGUAUUCGUAGUUGCGAAUACGAACCACCACCAGCUGGAUAAGGGAACGACGAUCAUGAAAAUUUGUGCCGGACGGGCAGUCGAGCCCGGUUCUCACGCUUUAUGGAAACGGCCGCCUUCUCCAGAUAAUGAAGCUGCAGCUAUACUCGCAGACCAUCAACGCAAGAAGCAGUUUGAUUUUAAAGGGCUGUAGACGUUUCCUCCAAGACUUGCAGACACAUGCCACUCCCAAGAAAGCUAAUCCGCUGGUAAUAGACAACCUGAAAGCUGCCAGAGAAAACGAAUAUAACGGAGGGAAGGUAAAAUGUAAUAUAAGAAUGACGUAGCGAAAGCCGCUGCGUAACAUGUACUUUUAUAAUCAUUAAAGGGAAGUA
Long non-coding RNA from Schistocerca gregaria, 710 nucleotides. RefSeq lists it as uncharacterized. NCBI's taxonomy places the organism in Eukaryota, Metazoa, Arthropoda, Insecta, Orthoptera, Acrididae. The record is from RefSeq and is a predicted model, not a curated record. The transcript has 3 exons.